CCAGUAUUCUUGCUGGAGAAUUCCACAGACAGAGGAGCCUAGCAAGCUCAGCCCAUGGGGUUACAAAGAGUCAGACAUAACUGAGCGAAUAACACUUUCAGACAUUUUUAAUAGUCAUAUCAGGGUAGUUGCUAAUGGCAUCUGUCUAGUGAGAAGAGGGCAGAGGUGCUGUUAAACAUGCUGCAAGGCCCAGGACAGGAAUGAUGUGACUCCAAACGCCAAGUGUUGCGGCUGAGAAAACUCAAUCCCCACCUUCACUUCCAUCACUUGCCAGUUUCAACAGCCCUCUGACACUUGUUACUCUUGAAAAGUAUUUUAUUUAUGCAUUUCCACAUGUAUCACCCAUUCCUUCUGUUAUAACAUUAACUCUGGUAGCUGUAACCUUGUUUUUCCUGUUUACUGCUUAUUCUCAGAACCUGACUUGUAGUAAGUACUGAAUAAAUAUUCGUCACAUGAAUAAAUUAUGAGGUGCAUGAAUGAUAGAAUCAGUAUGUGAAAAGGGGUAAAAAUACAAACCAGGGACACUUUGACUCCAAACCCAGUCAUUAGGAUGUAGGUUCGGGAGAGUUCAGCUUAUAGGCAUGCUCAGCGAUGCAGUAAUUAUUAUACUAUCCAUGUGUGUUAGGUUCUCUAGUGGAGUAUAAGCCCCCUGAGAUCAGUGUCCGUAUCUUCCUCAUCUCUAGCACAGAGCCCAGCUGUGGUGUAAGAGCAGACCUUAGAGACAAGAUACCUGUAAACUGUUACUCAUUUGCAGUUCAUUUGGCAUGUUGGCAGAAGCCCCAGAUUUGAUCUUUAGGUCACAGGAAGAACGUGCAUUCUGUGGGCAGUUCAUGUAGGAUCAGCAUGUUUUAUACCCUCCCCAAAUUACACCUGAGGUUACAUCUCAUUCUUCCCAAAUAAAGCGCUGUGUCACAGCUUGGGAAUUGAAUAUUUUGUUGUUCCAUCAUUUGACCUACACUGCUUAUUUACUUGCAGAAAGGCUUGCAAAUGGGAUAAAAAACUUCUAAAUGAUCCUGUGGCUUGUAAAUAAUAAAAUAAAUAAUAAAUAAGUAAAAUAAAGCAAUAAAAUAUAACAAUAAUAAAAUACAAGUGAUGUUCCUUAUGUUUGCAAAAGACAAGAGUGCCCUGUCCUGUACACCCCACUGUACCCUUCCCUUCCUGUAGGAAUUCCUUCCUGCAGGAAUUCCCUUCCUGUAGGAAUUCUUCCUGCAGGAAUUCCCUUCCUGUAGGAAUUCCUGUAGGAAUGAUAAAAUGACACACCAAGAUGGUCACUUUCAAAUAGCUAAAGCAGAGAGAAAACCUCCGAAUAAUAUGCAUUUAAAUACGUGAAUGCUGAGAAGAAUAAAUAGAAAUUUCUUCAGUUGUGGAUUUUUUUGGAAUGGGGGAAGUGCUAGAGUAUACAGUGGAUCACAAACUAACCAUAUGGAAAAAUAACAUGGUGGGAAACAUAAAUAUGAGCCAAAUAUAUGAAAACCCCUUAUAACUUGCCUGGUAUAUAGUUUACUCAUAGUUUCUGCUGUUCUUCCCCACUUGCACAUCCCACCAUGGUGCUUCUUCUAAUGAUCAACAAUGCCCUGAAGCCUUCACUAGGUACUGUAAGACCUUAUGACUCCAAAUUUGUGGAAAUGGCGACAUUUCAGAUAAUGAAAUACAUUAUUAAAAGGUGGAAAGUAAGUCUGGUUAAAAAAAGCCUAGACGAAUUGAAAUGAUUCAAUCUAAAUAAAAAUUGGCUAUUUAACAAGAGGUAAAUAUUAUAGUCUUGCAGAAUUAUACUUUAAAAAUUAUCUGUCAAAUAUAAAUAUUUGAAAUUUGAAGUAAAUACUUAUUGGGAUCUAUUAUGUGUCAAUGGGUGCAACAAAAAGUAAUACAGAAGGCCUAUCCUCAUGGAUCUUGAGUAGUACAAGUCAGCUAGCAUUUUGUUAUUCACUUAAUACAUAUUACUUAAGGACCAAUUAUGCUACAUGCUAAAGAACUCUUAUUAUUCCUUAUAAAAUGAGCUAUACAUGUGUUUAUCUACAAUUAUAGAUAAACUUCAGAUUAUUUAUCAUCCUGAUGACUAGUAAAACUGUAAAAGAAUUAGAAAGUGGUAACUCCAACAGGAAUUGAAUGGUCUAACCAGUGAUAUUUUAAAUAUCUCAUAAAAUAUUCCUAAUCAAAACAACAAGGGGAAGGGAAGGCCCAUAUGCAUUAUCAGAAAUCUAAAUUAAUGUAUUUACUAAAAUGUGAGCACUUCUGAGCACAUAUAAUUAAAAUAACCCAGCUAGUAAAAAUUAACAGUGAGUGUCCACUGAGGUCCAAGUAUGAGAUUUUAAACAAUUUAAAAAUUUCUCAGAAGAUUUAAUUUACAAGUUUUGUUUGGAAAUACUUUUUCACUAUUUGGCAAAUGAGAUAUUCCUCUCUUGAUCAUAUAUAUAAGUUUUUUGUACAUAGCUAGAUCUGUGAAGUGAAAGCACAAGCUGCUCAGUCAUGUAUGACUCUUUGUGACCCCAUACAGUCCAUGGAAUUCUCCAGGCCAGAAUACUGGAGUGCAUAGAUGGUCCCUUCUCCAAGGGAUCUUACCAACCCAGGGAUUGAACCCAGGUGUCCAGCAUUGCAGGCGGAUUCUUUACCAGGUGGAUUCUUGAGCCACCAGGGUAAUUCUAUUUUUUUGCAUGCCUAGUACAUGAUUCUGAUUUGUAAUAUUUUUAAUUAGAAUUUGAGUUGUUUUAAUGCCAUUCUUAGACUAAGAAUUUUGAACCACUGAUUCUCAAACUUGUCUGGACAUCUAUAUAGUUUUUAAAACUAUAGAUUAUUAGUUCCAAUCUAAAGGUCUUGAUUUAGUAAGUCUGAAAUAUCAAUUGUAAUUUAAAUCUGCUAGAAUUAUUAUUCAAAGUAAAAAUUAAAUUAAUGAAUUUACUACUUAAUCUACAUUGCUGUUUUCUUCUGUAAUUUCUGUCCUUAAGCACAUAGUAGAGUCUUAAGACAAAUAUUUAAUUAACUUAUUUACAAGAUUGUAGAAAAUUAAUAAUUUAAUUUUAAAAUAGAGAUUCAAAUUCACUUUUGAUAGUAUUAAAGUAAAUAGAAUAUGGUUGCUUAAAAGUAAUUAAAAUCGAAAGGGAAACUGAAGAAACACAAUAAAAUUCACUAUAAAGGAAAUAAUUAUUGUAAAUUCUAAAAUUUUAAAAAUCUCCUCCUUAUAAAAUGUGUUAUGUCUGUCAUUUGUCUACGGAAGAAUGCAAUGUUCUGAACUGAAGCCAACACAUAUUAAAAACUAAAUGGCUUAUUUUACUACAAUCUUUUAUAGAAAAUGUCUUAAAGACAUUCUAAAUGAACAAAUUGGGUUACUUUUUCCAUAUGAAAUUGUAUUAUUUUGAAAUAUAGAAAAAAGAGAAGGUUCUUAGCCUAAGUGUUCAGUUCUUUUUAAAAUUUUUUAUUAGCAUUGGUUUACAAUGUGCUAGUUUCUGGUGUACAGCUCUUAAAAGAAAAAUAGUUUUAAUAGUUUUGGAAGUCCUAAGUGUUGGUGUGGUGAAAAUGAAGGUAAUUUUUCCCUUAUUCACUGUCUAAAUUUCUCUUCUUCAGUUGGUAUCAUGGUAGCUGCUAUAGGUAUAAUGUAGCAAUGGUAGUAGGCAUAGAGUCAGCUCUUGAAGGGGAGCUAUAGUGUGAGGAAAGAGCCAGUGAGGGGAGACGGUUGUAGGUUAAUUUGUAGUGGAAAGAACGAAAGGUUAACUUGCCAUAGAACGUUCUGAUGACUGGUGGUAGUUCCACUAGAUUAAAGUGAUAAUCGGGGCACUGCAGUUGCAGGUUCAGAUGGACAGGUGGAAAUUACACGUGGUUGAAGGAGAGUGAUGACCACUGGUUUUGUAAGCUAAGUGGGAGCUACAGUAGUUGUGGCUUAAGUGGAAGUGGUAAUGGUCAUCGAUGGAGGAAGUGGUGAUUUUAUGGUCCUGUUGCAGAGCUGGAAGCCGGGAUUUCAUUUGAAUUUGUGGUGGUAGCUGCUGUGGUUGUAAGUUCAUUUGAAGUAGUGGAGGUUGUAGGUUCGGGUGAAGUGUUGGUUGCCGGUUCCACUGAACUGGUGCUCACUAUAGGCUGCCAAGUAGUAGAGAUUGUAGGUUCGGGUGAAGUGGUGGUUGCCGGUUCUGUUGUACUGGUGCUCACUACAGACUGCCAAGUCGUGGAGAUUGUAGGUUUGGGUGAAGUGGUGGGUGCCUGUUCCGUUGAACUGGUGCUUAGUGUAGGCUGCCAAGUAGUAGAGGUGGGUAUAGGUAUUGGGCUUCCUGUGGGUAGCUUGAUAACAAUAGAAGAGUUGUUAUUAUAAUUAAUACUAUUAGAAAAUUAUUAUUUUUUACUAAUUAAUAUGUUAUUAACAAUGAAUAAUAAUAAUGUUGAUAAUUGUUAUUAUUCACCAGGGUUAUUAUGAGUACUCCAAUUGUUGUUGUUAUCACACAGGCUAAGAAACAAACCAAAAAGAUCUUCCAUAGAGUCAGCUUAUGGCAGCAAUUUUCUUUCACCUAAGAAGAGUGUGAAUAAAAAAUAUUAGUAGUGAAAACAAAAAUGCUUGUCAUUUAUCAUCUCUUUUGUGUUAUUUAUAACCUAGUGUAUUAACACCAUCGAAUACCUAUACAUCUCUGAAGCAAUUUAGUCUUAAAGUCCACCCUUUUAUUCAGAUGGAAAUAAUUGCAUGCUUUCUGUAAUAUAAGAAGCAAUCACAAUCUGCUAAUAUCACAUCUUCUUUUAUCCUAUGUUCCAAUAAUAAGUAUGAGGUCUUCUGUCUUUUCACAUAAGCAGAACAAUACCUUGAUGAUAGAUUCUCCUCUUUGCACCCAAUACAUCCCUGAAUAUUGUCAUUACCCCAAUCUGCACCGUUCCCAAAAUCACUUCUUCAGGAAUCCUGUGCUCUAACCACCAAGUUCUCUCCUUCCAGCUUGUUUGUUCAAUUAUUGCUGUAACAGCCUUUCUUUGGUUUUCUUAAAAUGUCCAGCCCAGCAGCCCUGGCUUCCCUCAGAUCUCUCCUUAUCCACCUUUUGUUCCAAGGCCCAUUUUUCAAUACAGUUGCUAACUCCCUAAAACUUCUUGCACUUCCCUCUGCUCAGUUUUUCCUGUUGGCAAACAAGUGACUGCUUACACUGGACCUUCCCUUGAACAGUCACAUGGCUGGGGAAAGUCACGUCUCUGAGCACAUCAGAAUUAACAGAAAUGUGUGGUCAUCAUUCUCAGAUGGAUUUUAUGUACUGUUCUAUCAUCCUUUAUAACCAUCCAUUAUAACUCUGAUUAAGAUCUGCUCUUCUUUGAAAAUACUUCCUUAAUCUUCUUCCCUCUCUUUAAACCUGAAACCUCCACCCACCAACCCUCACACACAAAUUGUCCCUCCUCAUUCCUAUCAAUUGACUUCACUUCCUUUCUACUUCAUUGGGAAACUUGAACUCAUCCAAUGGAAACUUUUUCAAACCCCCACUAGGUACCAAACCUGUGAAUCCAUUCUCUUCUUUCCCUGAUUGAUACAAAAGAUGCUAUCUCUCCUUCUGCCUGAAGGCAAUCUGCCAAUCUGCUUUUGGAUCCCAUCCCCUCUGCCUUCCUCAGGAACUUUUUUGUUUUAUCCUUCCUCCAGGACGGAAUACUCACCAUUGUCCCCUUAAAUGACUGCUUCCUUUUAACAUUUAAACACACUUAAAUCUCUCCUCUCAUCUUAAACAAGAAAAUCUCCUUAGUUUCAAAUACCCAUCUAGUGGCUUCCCUGGGGGCUCAGUGGUAAAGAAUUCACCACCGAUGCGGGGGGGGGGCUCAGGUUUGAUCCCUGAUCUGGGAAAAUAUCCCACAUGCCAAGGAGCAUCUAAGUCCGUGCACCACCAUUAUUGAGCCUGUGCUCUAGAGCUCGGGAGCCACAACUACUGAG
Bos taurus (domestic cattle) is the source of this 5869-nucleotide long non-coding RNA. Lineage: Eukaryota; Metazoa; Chordata; Mammalia; Artiodactyla; Bovidae. The record is from Ensembl.